Molecule: ribosomal RNA, 1293 nt
Filed under: uncultured Mycobacterium sp.
Lineage: Bacteria; Bacillati; Actinomycetota; Actinomycetes; Mycobacteriales; Mycobacteriaceae
Description: bacterial SSU rRNA
Rfam family: Bacterial small subunit ribosomal RNA
Source: RNAcentral
CUGGCGGCGUGCUUAACACAUGCAAGUCGAACGGAAAGGCCCCUUUGGGGGUGCUCGAGUGGCGAACGGGUGAGUAACACGUGGGUGAUCUGCCCUGCACUUCGGGAUAAGCUUGGGAAACUGGGUCUAAUACCGGAUAGGACCAUGCCAUGCAUGUGGUGUGGUGGAAAGCUUUUGCGGUGUGGGAUGGGCCCGCGGCCUAUCAGCUUGUUGGUGGGGUGAUGGCCUACCAAGGCGACGACGGGUAGCCGGCCUGAGAGGGUGUCCGGCCACACUGGGACUGAGAUACGGCCCAGACUCCUACGGGAGGCAGCAGUGGGGAAUAUUGCACAAUGGGCGCAAGCCUGAUGCAGCGACGCCGCGUGGGGGAUGACGGCCUUCGGGUUGUAAACCUCUUUCAGUGCCGACGAAGCGUAAGUGACGGUAGGCACAGAAGAAGCACCGGCCAACUACGUGCCAGCAGCCGCGGUAAUACGUAGGGUGCGAGCGUUGUCCGGAAUUACUGGGCGUAAAGAGCUCGUAGGUGGUUUGUCGCGUUGUUCGUGAAAACCGGGGGCUUAACUCUAGGCGUGCGGGCGAUACGGGCAGACUGGAGUACUGCAGGGGAGACUGGAAUUCCUGGUGUAGCGGUGGAAUGCGCAGAUAUCAGGAGGAACACCGGUGGCGAAGGCGGGUCUCUGGGCAGUAACUGACGCUGAGGAGCGAAAGCGUGGGGAGCGAACAGGAUUAGAUACCCUGGUAGUCCACGCCGUAAACGGUGGGUACUAGGUGUGGGUUUCCUUCCUUGGGAUCCGUGCCGUAGCUAACGCAUUAAGUACCCCGCCUGGGGAGUACGGCCGCAAGGCUAAAACUCAAAGGAAUUGACGGGGGCCCGCACAAGCGGCGGAGCAUGUGGAUUAAUUCGAUGCAACGCGAAGAACCUUACCUGGGUUUGACAUGCACAGGACGCGUCUAGAGAUAGGCGUUCCCUUGUGGCCUGUGUGCAGGUGGUGCAUGGCUGUCGUCAGCUCGUGUCGUGAGAUGUUGGGUUAAGUCCCGCAACGAGCGCAACCCUUGAUCUGUGUUACCAGCGCGUGAAGGCGGGGACUCACAGAUGACUGCCGGUGACAAACCGGAGGAAGGCGGGGAUGACGUCAAAUCAUCAUGCCCCUUAUGUCCUGGGCGACACACGUGCUACAAUGGGCGGUACAGAGGGAAGCGAAGCCGCGAGGUGGAGCGAAACCCUAGAAAGCCGUUCGUAGUUCGGAUUGCAGGCUGCAACUCGCCUGCAUGAAGCCGGAAUUGCUAGUAAUC